GAUGAACGCUGGCGGCGUGCCUAAUACAUGCAAGUCGAGCGAAUCGAUUGAGAGCUUGCUCUUAUGAAGUUAGCGGCGGACGGGUGAGUAACACGUGGGUAACCUGCCCAUAAGACUGGGAUAACUCCGGGAAACCGGGGCUAAUACCGGAUAACAUUUUGAACCGCAUGGUUCGAAAUUGAAAGGCGGCUUCGGCUGUCACUUAUGGAUGGACCCGCGUCGCAUUAGCUAGUUGGUGAGGUAACGGCUCACCAAGGCAACGAUGCGUAGCCGACCUGAGAGGGUGAUCGGCCACACGGGGACUGGGACACGGCCCAGACGCCUACGGGAGGCAGCAGUAGGGAAUCUUCCGCAAUGGCCGAAAGUCUGACGGAGCAACGCCGCGUGAGUGAUGAAGGCUUUCGGGUCGUAAAACUCUGUUGUUAGGGAAGAACAAGUGCUAGUUGAAUAAGCUGGCACCUUGACGGUACCUAACCAGAAAGCCACGGCUAACUACGUGCCAGCCGCCGCGGUAA
This 515-nucleotide ribosomal RNA is filed under the name uncultured bacterium. Its description in RNAcentral is "partial 16S ribosomal RNA". It matches the Rfam family "Bacterial small subunit ribosomal RNA", at positions 28 to 523 of the family's 1533-position model. The record is from RNAcentral.